Molecule: ribosomal RNA, 354 nt
Filed under: uncultured Microsporidia
Lineage: Eukaryota; Fungi; Microsporidia
Description: SSU rRNA
Rfam family: Microsporidia small subunit ribosomal RNA
Source: RNAcentral
GCNNAUGCUAGUCUCGGAGAUUAAGCCAUGCAUGCGCGCGAAGAAGGGAGCGGCGAACGGCUCAGUAAUGCUGCGAUGAUCUGCUCUGUGCGGAAGAUAACCACGGGACACUGUGGCUAAGGCACAGAUUGAGACGCAGUCCUAUCAGCUAGUUGGCAGUGUAACGGACUGCCAAGGCAACGACGGGUGCCGGGAGAUAAGGGUCUUAUACCGGAGAGGGAGCCUGAGAGAUGGCUCCCACGUCCAAGGACGGCAGCAGGCGCGAAAAUUGCCCACUCUCAGAAGAGGAGGCAGUAACGAGGCAUAGACGGAACGGGUGCAAAAAGCCCGAAGACCGACUGGAGGGCAAGUUCG